GACGAACCGUCCAAACGUUUAUUCGGAAUCACUGGGCUUACAGAGUUCGUAGGCGGUCUGGAAAGUUGGGUGUGAAAUCCCUCGGCUCAACCGAGGAACUGCGCUCAAAACUACCCGACUCGAGGGAGAUAGAGGAAAGCGGAACUGAUGGUGGAGCGGUGAAAUGCGUUGAUAUCAUCAGGAACACCGGUGGCGAAGGCGGCUUUCUGGGUCUUACCUGACGCUGAGGAACGAAAGCUAGGGGAGCGAACGGG
RNAcentral lists this ribosomal RNA (254 nucleotides) under uncultured bacterium. RNAcentral describes it as "partial 16S ribosomal RNA". It matches the Rfam family "Bacterial small subunit ribosomal RNA", at positions 524 to 776 of the family's 1533-position model. The record is from RNAcentral.